CUAGCCGUAAACGAUGGGUACUAGGUGUAGGUGGUUUCGAUACCAUCUGUGCCGGAGUUAACGCAAUAAGUACCCCGCCUGGGGAGUACGUGCGCAAGCAUGAAACUCAAAGGAAUUGACGGGGGCCCGCACAAGCGGUGGAGCAUGUGGUUUAAUUCGAAGCAACGCGAAGAACCUUACCAGGUCUUGACAUCCCUUGACCACCUCAGAGAUGAGGUUUCUCUUCGGAGCAAGGAGACAGGUGG
Molecule: ribosomal RNA, 245 nt
Filed under: uncultured Selenomonadales bacterium
Lineage: Bacteria; Bacillati; Bacillota; Negativicutes; Selenomonadales
Description: partial 16S ribosomal RNA
Rfam family: Bacterial small subunit ribosomal RNA
Source: RNAcentral